GAGGGUAUAGCUCAAGUGGCAGAGCACAUGCUUGGCAUGCAUGAAGUCCUGGGUUCAAUUCCCAGUACCUCCU
This 73-nucleotide transfer RNA is filed under the name Camelus bactrianus (Bactrian camel). It matches the Rfam family "tRNA". From Rfam's summary of the family: Transfer RNA (tRNA) molecules are approximately 80 nucleotides in length. Their secondary structure includes four short double-helical elements and three loops (D, anti-codon, and T loops). RNAcentral also lists the same sequence under 2 other names. Lineage: Eukaryota; Metazoa; Chordata; Mammalia; Artiodactyla; Camelidae. The record is from Rfam by way of RNAcentral.